CCUACCCGAGCUCUUGAAUCAAACCUCAAAUCUAAUCCUCAUACCUAACCUUCAAACCUGACCUAACUAAUCCAUCAUCCUUUGUUCAGAGUGGUAAGAAGAUCGAGAGCGGCAUUAGGAAUAUUGUGAAAAUGAAUCGAUGCUAUGUUUUGAGCUCUGGCAAUGAUUGAAGUUCAGGGACUCAAGCAUCAUAUGGCUAUCCCGAGGAACCGAGCAGGGUACAGUCGAACGUGGUUCCAAUUUUAACCCACUCUGAUCAUGUGAUUUAAUUACCACCCCAACACUGUAGAAUUAGGGGUGGGUUAGGGAUUAGAUUAGGGGAUAGAAGGUUACGGGGGUAAGUAAGGGGGUUAGUUAGGGGGUUAGAGCACGAGAAAAAUCAAAAAAUCCCUCCUCCUAGAGGAUGAUUAGUGAUCAUCUGGGUGGUGUUUUAGUGACAUUAAAGUUGAUCGUGGUUCAAAAAAUUAUGUGGGUGCAGUUUUUGAACCCUGAUCAACUUUGAACCAUGUGGGUUUGAACCACGCUCAAGCUUUUUUAAACCACCCGAAAACCAGGGUUGCCUGACAAGCAUUAGCACCAAGAUCUUCUCACUGAACUCCAGUAUCGUGGUCUAAUAGAAUGAAAGAGUAGAAAGCUUACUAGUAUUCUUUUCAAUAUUAGGGCUCGGUGUCAUCUGAUGGUGAUGAAAUUGACUACCUUGCAUAUGACCCUUUUGUAUAUGCAUUUUUUCUAGAAGAAUGGUUUUAUAGAGGUGACUCAGGUAAGUGAGAAAGCAGAGGACCGUAUCCCACAACUCCGCAACAAACAGAUAAUUAUUCACAAAGAACAUUAAUGGCAGAAGUAAAAAGGAAGGAAUUGUUAUUAUUGAUGCAUAGGAAAUGGCGUGCUAGUGUCUAAUAGGAAAAGAGGAUGUUAGGCAUAGGGCAAGUGCUGCAGAGUUCUAUCACUUUUACUCCCCGUCGACACAGUCUCCCAUCACGGGUUGAGGUGCCAAGCUAUUGUCUUCCCCUUUCUUGGGAAUGCCGUUUACUCGGCCCCAUCGAAAGGCCCUCCCUCUCAAGUCCGGAACAACCUGAAGGAAAAUAAGACUGCUCAUCCAGGUGGCUAAAGUGUCGAAAAUGGCGUUGUUCCUAUAACUACCCCCCAUUGAAUUUGCUUUCAUGAUCGUGCCUACCGCCAUUGUUGUAAUCAUGUAUUGGCCUCUUUCGAGCCCCCUGAUAGAAAUCGCGGCAACUUCGUCUGGUGUUUGUGGCUUGUCAGACUCUUCAAGGUGUUUUGUCACGGCAGGCUUCAUUCUCUGUUCAUGGACAAAUCCAGGGCUCAAAAUUCCCAUCGGGAAGACGAUAUGGGUUCUCACAUCCGCAGCAGGAGCGUUGAGGGACGGGUUUCUUCGGGAGCCAUUAUAAAUCUCGAUCUCAGAAGUCAAGGCAUCCGCGAGGGCGCGUAGGGCUGCUUUUGCUGGCGCGUAUGGCGCGUACCCAGCCACCGGGACAAAGCAUGCAGUGGAGCUAGUAAAGAUCAAAUGACGACGAGGUGGCUGUUCUGGAGAUUGACCAGUAGAGGCCGGAGCUAACCACCGCUUCAUAAUAGCCCUUGCAGUAUAUGCUGAGGCCCAAAAAUUGGUGUCCAUCUGCGCUCUCAAGGUCUCAAGAGAAGAAUGGAGGAAGAACCCAGGCAAACACUGUCCAACGCAGCACCAGACAAUAUCGGGAUACACUCCGUCGUUGAACUCGGUAACUUCGUCCAUGACACGUUCAGAUUCCUUGGGGUCGGUCAAAUCGGCUUUGAUCCAGUGAAAUUUCUGAUCGCACAUAGGAGGGGCGAAUGUCUAACCAUUGGUUUUCGCGUCACCAAUACUGUCUUUUCGGAGACAAUGAUAAUGUAUCAAGCAGGAACGAGCCUACCUUCAUGGCUUCAUAGACAGCUUGUAACUUGUUCACAUCGCGGCCGACGAUUGUUACACUGGCCCCUUUUUUGGCUAACUCCAUAGCGACACUUUUGCCCAUGCCAUCCGAACCACCCGUAACAACCGCCAUCUAUAUACGCCAUCAGCGUCAGCUACUGGGAACAAAGCAAACGAAAAGAUUAACGAAAUUCGAUCCAAAUACAAACCUUCCUCUCCACAACGAACUCAUUUGUGGUCUUGUAGAAGUUACGCAUACUGACGGCUAAGCAUAUGGAUACUAUCAAAAGAAUGACUGAAGCGACUAGCUGGGGUUUUGACAACGAAACAUCAGAGCCCACUGGGGAGAGGGAUAGCAGAGUGGCGCGUAAAUCCGGCAUCGCGGAGAAGGAAUCGGACGGCGACGCACGACGAGGAAAGGGCGUUCUGGGAGGCGUUGGUUCUUCCCACCACGUUCAAUAUCCAACUGCUUAUUUCUACCUGCAACGCAAGAAAUGUUAAUGUUAACAACC
Molecule: small RNA, 2415 nt
Filed under: Histoplasma capsulatum var. duboisii H88
Lineage: Eukaryota; Fungi; Ascomycota; Eurotiomycetes; Onygenales; Ajellomycetaceae
Description: Histoplasma capsulatum H88 hypothetical RNA
Source: RNAcentral